AUUCCUCUCUAGAAAAGAAAAGUGGAUUUGGGCCAUGUGCAGUGGCUCACGCCUGUAAUCUCAGCACUUUGGGCGGCCAAGGCAGGAGGAUCACUCGAGCCCAGGAAUUUAAGACCAGCUUGGGCAACACAGCGAGACUCUGUCUCUUACAAAAAAAAAAAAAAAAAAAAUUAGCCUGGUAUAGUGGUGUGAGCCUAGUGCUAUCCAUGUAUUCAGGAGGCUGAGGUGGGAGGGUUGCUUGAGCGUGGGAGGUCAAGGCUGCAGUGAGCUGUGAUCAUGCCGCUACACUCCAGCCUGGGCAACAGUGAGACCCUGUCUCAAAGAAAAGAAAAAAAAAAAAAAAAAAAGGAUUUGAUGGUCUCUUAAGAGUGAAUAUCUUAUCAAAUUAGGCAAUACAGAAUGUCAUCCAGAACAGUUUUUGGAAAGAAGAUCAAAAUUAGAUAAACUAUUGAUUAUUAUUCAAAAUGAAGACAUUGCAGGUUUCAUUCACAAGAUACCUGGCUUGGUGACUUUAAAGAAGCUCCCCUGUGUUAGUUUUGCUGGUGUUGAUAGCCUGGAUGAUGUUAAAAAUCAUACAUACAAUGAA
Molecule: small RNA, 586 nt
Filed under: Pongo abelii (Sumatran orangutan)
Lineage: Eukaryota; Metazoa; Chordata; Mammalia; Primates; Hominidae
Description: retained intron
Source: RNAcentral